CAGCGCCGCGGGAAUACAGAGGGUGCAAGCGUUAAUCGGAAUUACUGGGCGUAAAGCGCGCGUAGGUGGUUUGUUAAGUUGGAUGUGAAAUCCCCGGGCUCAACCUGGGAACUGCAUCCAAAACUGGCAAGCUAGAGUAUGGUAGAGGGUGGUGGAAUUUCCUGUGUAGCGGUGAAAUGCGUAGAUAUAGGAAGGAACACCAGUGGCGAAGGCGACCACCUGGACUGAUACUGACACUGAGGUGCGAAAGCGUGGGGAGCAAACAGGAUUAGAUACCCGAGUAGUCCCUGUCUCUUAUACA
Molecule: ribosomal RNA, 301 nt
Filed under: uncultured bacterium
Lineage: Bacteria
Description: partial 16S ribosomal RNA
Rfam family: Bacterial small subunit ribosomal RNA
Source: RNAcentral